ACAUCCAGCGAACUUGGCAGAGAUGCCUUGGUGCCUUCGGGAACGCUGAGACAGGUGCUGCAUGACUGUCGUCAGCUCGUGUUGUGAAAUGUUGGGUUAAGUCCCGCAACGAGCGCAACCCUUUAUCCUUUGUUGCCAGCGAUUCGGUCGGGAACUCAAAGGAGACUGCCGGUGAUAAACCGGAGGAAGGUGGGGAUGACGUCAAGUCAUCAUGGCCCUUACGAGUAGGGCUACACACGUGCUACAAUGGCGCAUACAAAGAGAAGCGACCUCGCGAGAGCAAGCGGACCUCAUAAAGUGCGUCGUAGUCCGGAUCGGAGUCUGCAACUCGACUCCGUGAAGUCGGAAUCGCUAGUAAUCGUGGAUCAGAAUGCCACGGUGAAUACGUUCCCGGGCCUUGUACACACCGCCCGUCACACCAUGGGAGUGGGUUGCAAAAGAAGUAGGUAGCUUAACCUCCGGGAGGGCGCUUACCACUUUGUGAUUCAUGACUGGGGUGAAGUCGUAACAAGGUAGGCGUAGCGAG
RNAcentral lists this ribosomal RNA (526 nucleotides) under uncultured bacterium. Its description in RNAcentral is "bacterial SSU rRNA". It matches the Rfam family "Bacterial small subunit ribosomal RNA", at positions 984 to 1509 of the family's 1533-position model. The record is from RNAcentral.